AGUUAAAAAGCUYGUAGUUGGAUUUCUGGCAGGAGCGGCGGGUCGCGCACUCUGUGCGUGAACUUGGCUGUCUCUGGCCAUCCUUGGGGAGAUCCUGUUUGGCAUUAAGUUGUCGGGCAGGGGAUACCCAUCGUUUACUGUGAAAAAAUUAGAGUGUUUAAAGCAGGCUUAUGCCGUUGAAUAUAUUAGCAUGGAAUAAUAAGAUAGGACUUUGGAACUAUUUUGUUGGUUUGCGUUGCAAAGUAAUGAUUAAUAGGGACAGUUGGGGGUAUUCGUAUUUCGUUGUCAGAGGUGAAAUUCUUGGAUUUCCGAAAGACGAACUACUGCGAAAGCAUUUACC
RNAcentral lists this ribosomal RNA (340 nucleotides) under Discostella sp. RNAcentral's name for it is "SSU rRNA". The record is from RNAcentral. Lineage: Eukaryota; Bacillariophyta; Thalassiosirophyceae; Thalassiosirales; Thalassiosiraceae.